UACGUAGGUGGCAAGCGUUGUCCGGAUUUAUUGGGUUUAAAGGGUGCGUAGGCGGUUUCUUAAGUCAGUGGUGAAAUACGGCAGCUCAACUGUCGAGGUGCCAUUGAUACUGGGAAACUUGAGUACUGAUGAGGUAGGCGGAAUGGACGGUGUAGCGGUGAAAUGCUUAGAUAUCGUCCAGAACACCGAUAGCGAAGGCAGCUUACUAAGGAGUAACUGACGCUGAUGCACGAAAGUGUGGGGAUCAAACAGG
This 253-nucleotide ribosomal RNA is filed under the name uncultured bacterium. RNAcentral describes it as "partial 16S ribosomal RNA". It matches the Rfam family "Bacterial small subunit ribosomal RNA", at positions 524 to 776 of the family's 1533-position model. The record is from RNAcentral.